RNAcentral lists this ribosomal RNA (517 nucleotides) under Internectella bulgarica. Its description in RNAcentral is "partial 16S ribosomal RNA". It matches the Rfam family "Bacterial large subunit ribosomal RNA", at positions 1832 to 2601 of the family's 2925-position model. Lineage: Eukaryota; Metazoa; Bryozoa; Phylactolaemata; Fredericellidae. The record is from RNAcentral.
AGCCAUUCGAAAUUAUGAAAGGUAAAGCCUGCCCAGUGGCAAUCUCAACGGCUGCGGUAUUUUGACCGUACAAAGGUAGCAUAAUCACUUGUCCCCUAAUUAGGGACUGGAAUCAAUGGCAAAACGAAAGCUUAACUGUCUCAUUCAUACUUAUAAAAACUUACCUUCAAGUGAAAAGGCUUGAAUAAAACAAGAGGACAAGAAGACCCUAUGGAGCUUUAGGAAAUAAGUCCACCUAGUUUCAUAUUUAUAGAAGAAUCGUAGGACCUAUAACUUUGGUUGGGGCAACCGGAGUACAAUAGAACCACUCCUAAAAGAACUACUGAUAAGUACACACUUACGAACAGAAGAUCCUAAAAUUAAGAUCAGGAGAAUAAGUUACCCUAGGGAUAACAGCGUAAUUCUUCCUAAGAGCUCACAUCGAAGGAAGAGGUUGCGACCUCGAUGUUGGACUAGGACAUCCCACAGGUGUAGCAGCUUGUAAUGGUGAGCCUGUUCGGCUCUUAAAGUCCUACAU